UGUGCGCGUCCAACUCACUCCAACUCACCACUGACCCGUUCCAGUUCCUAAUCCUACCUAAUAUACCUUUCCCUAGUCAGUUAGUUACAGUGGUUGGGUUAGGUUAGUUUAAAUGGGUUGAGUUCCAGUUCCUAUCCCGUAGCUUCCCUAUAAUCCCAAUCUCAGUUUCAGUUUCUCCUCUUUUCCCUCUUAUGUAACUUUGCAUAGAAUCAGAGACGGGUGGAUAUGAAUUCAUCAAAUCCAGAUGUAUAGGCAUAUUAAGCUUCUGGUGCAUUGGUUAACACCACUAUCCUCAUGGGUUAAUCUUAAUUUUGGCAUUGCGUUUGGCUCGAUAACUAAUAUAGCUGGUAUUAGUUUAAUUUUGAGAAAUGAUGGAAGGAAUUCUUCAUGGCGUCGUGAGCAGUAAUGAAGUUUGUGCUUCAACUACUAAACAAGCUGAAGUGUUGGCUCUUUCUUGACGCCGGUAUUUGAUUGCCGCAACUUCAUAGUUGGGACUUUCUCAAAUCGUGAUGGAGGGAGAUUGUAAAAUGUGAUCAAUGCUUUCUCUUAUCUUAUGUAUGUGUUAAGCCGAGAUGAUCUCACCAUUAUCUCGGAUUGUAGAAGGUAUAUUCGUUUUGUGGGUGUUGUAGUGUGUUUGUAUGUGCGGCCUUAUUUUUGGCACUGUGGUCCUCGUAUUCUGGAAUUUCUAUUUGAUUUAAUGUAAGAAAACGUAUUAUAUAUAAAAUUAUUCAGUAUUAUUAUGGAA
Papaver somniferum (opium poppy) is the source of this 745-nucleotide long non-coding RNA. RefSeq lists it as uncharacterized. The transcript is spliced from 2 exons. Lineage: Eukaryota; Viridiplantae; Streptophyta; Magnoliopsida; Ranunculales; Papaveraceae. The record is from RefSeq and is a predicted model, not a curated record.